CUCCGCGCCGCCGUCUUCGUUGCUCUUGGGUGGCCGCGGCGCCCGCUCCCUCUGAAUUCGCCGGGCAGGGAUACAGCCGCCCGGGGCCUCUUGCUCGUGCUUGGUUUUCCGGACCUUGCUUCCUAAAGGGUCUUUAGGGGUUCCCGGACUCCUCCGCCUGGGAGCCUCUAUCCGCCUGGGAGCCUCUAUGCGCCCCGCAAAGCCCCCGGCAGAGCCGAGGGGAGGCUUCAUUGGCGACCUGGUGGGGCCUCGCGGCCCUGCUCCCUGACGUCAGCGCCGCCGCGGUGAUUUAACAGCUUUUGUUUUGGGCAGAAGAACCUAUGGGCACAAAAAGCAGGAACGAGUAGCGGUGGCUGAAGAACGAGCAGGAGCUUGAAUUUCAGUUUUCUUAUGAGGAAUUUUCCAGAAAAGAUAUCUUCACUGUGAAAUAACUAAAUAAAUGCCCACUCAGUACAACAAAAAUACCUGCUACAUGCUUCCUUCUGUAUGAAUACAUGAGACCUACCUUCAUUCAUGUUUCCUCUAUGAAGCUUUCCCUGCACUCCAAACACAGAGCUGAGACUUCCACCUAAUGUAGAAAGCUAGCACGAGCCGGCGCUGACAGAUGGAAGACUUGAGAUGUUACAAGAUUAUAUAUGGAAACACAAAAGGAGUGGAGUUGCUGGGUCAUAUGGCAAUUCAUUUGAGGAACUGAGAAGCUUAUUCCAUGGAGGCUGAACUGUUUUAUAUUCCCACCAGCAACGUGUAAGGUUCCAGUUUAUCUACAUCAUCACCAACACUUGCUAUUUUCCAUUUCAUUAAUGAUAGCCAUCCUAGUGGAUUUGAAGUGGUACCUUAUUAUCGUGGUUUUGAUUGCAUUCUCUAUUGACUAAUGAUAUCGAGCAUCUUUUCAUGUAUUUUUUGGUCAUUUGGUCAUUUUUCUUUUUUAAUUUUAAAAUUUUGAGACAGGCUCUCACUAUGUUGCCCAGGUGGUCUCAAACUCCUGGGUUCCAGCGAUGCUCAUGCCUCAGUCUCCCAAAGGGGUGGGAUUACAGGUGUGAGCCACUUUGCCCAGCCCAUUUGUAUAUCUCCUUUGGAGAAUAUCUAGGUUCUUUUGAAGGUAGCUGCAUAUAAACUAGCCAAAUUAACAGACUGUGGUUUUUAGAUGGCUUUCCAUAUCUACAAGAACUAUUUAGUUCUCAAAACUGGGAAGAAAUGUUUCAGAGGCAUCAUUAAUUCAUAAUCUAAAAAUUUAUCUUGGGUUUCCUUUUUUCCCCCAGAUUCUGUAUCCUCCAUAGUCCUAUUCAUGACAUGGGUCGUUCAUCUCUGUAUUCUAAACCCUCAAUGAACUGUAGACAGUAAUAAAUAUUUAUUGGAUGAAAAAAAAAAAAAAAAAA
Molecule: long non-coding RNA, 1376 nt
Filed under: Homo sapiens (human)
Lineage: Eukaryota; Metazoa; Chordata; Mammalia; Primates; Hominidae
Description: cholesterol induced regulator of metabolism RNA, transcript variant 3 (CHROMR)
Source: RNAcentral